RNAcentral lists this ribosomal RNA (463 nucleotides) under uncultured bacterium. RNAcentral describes it as "bacterial SSU rRNA". It matches the Rfam family "Bacterial small subunit ribosomal RNA", at positions 28 to 507 of the family's 1533-position model. The record is from RNAcentral.
GAUGAACGCUAGCUACAGGCUUAACACAUGCAAGUCGAGGGGUCUUUUGGAGCUUGCUUUAAAAGACGACCGGCGCACGGGUGAGUAACGCGUAUCCAACCUGCCCUUCAUAUUGGGAUAGCCUUCCGAAAGGAAGAUUAAUACCGAAUAACAUGAGAUAGUUGCCUGAUUUUCUCAUGAAAGCUCCGGCGAUGAAGGAUGGGGAUGCGUUCCAUUAGGUAGUAGGCGGGGUAACGGCCCACCUAGCCGACGAUGAAUAGGGGUUCUGAGAGGAAGGUCCCCCACACUGGAACUGAGACACGGCCCAGACUCCUACGGGAGGCAGCAGUAGGGGAUAUUGCACAAUGGAGGAAACUCUGAUGCAGCAACGCCGCGUGAGGGAAGACGGUCUUCGGAUUGUAAACCUAAGUUAUCAGGGACGAUUAUGACGGUACCUGAAGAGAAAGCUCCGGCUAACUACGUG